GCCGGGUGCAGUGGCGUGCGCCUGUAAUCCAAGCUACUGGGAGGCUGAGACUGGCGGACCGUUUGAGCUCAGGGGUUCUGGGCUGUAGCGGACUAUGCCGAUCGGGUGUCCGCACUAAGUUCGGUAUCGAUAUGGUGCUCCUGGGGGAGCCCGGGACCACCAGGUUGUCUAAGGAGGGGUGCAUCGACCCAGGCCGGAAACGGAGCAGGUCAAAGCCCCCGUGCCGAUCAGUAGUGGGAUCGCGCCUGUGAAUAGACGCUGCAGUGCAGCCUGAGCAAAAUAGCGGGACCCAGUCUUUU
This 299-nucleotide signal recognition particle RNA is filed under the name Clupea harengus (Atlantic herring). RNAcentral's name for it is "Metazoan signal recognition particle RNA (ENSCHAG00020011211.1)". It matches the Rfam family "Metazoan signal recognition particle RNA". Rfam says of the family: The signal recognition particle (SRP) is a universally conserved ribonucleoprotein. It is involved in the co-translational targeting of proteins to membranes. The eukaryotic SRP consists of a 300-nucleotide 7S RNA and six proteins: SRPs 72, 68, 54, 19, 14, and 9. The record is from Rfam by way of RNAcentral. Lineage: Eukaryota; Metazoa; Chordata; Actinopteri; Clupeiformes; Clupeidae.